Haliotis rufescens (red abalone) is the source of this 5772-nucleotide long non-coding RNA. RefSeq lists it as uncharacterized. The transcript has 4 exons. The record is from RefSeq and is a predicted model, not a curated record. NCBI's taxonomy places the organism in Eukaryota, Metazoa, Mollusca, Gastropoda, Lepetellida, Haliotidae.
UGUUACAGGUGAGAGGAGCUGUUGCCAAAAACGAGAACUGGAAGGAUCACCUGUCAUUGAAAGUUGCUUACGAGAACUGGAGAUAUGACAAGUCCAGUCAGACAAAAGAGGUGAUUAUUCCCGGUCUCAAGUACAGCGAGGAACAAAUCUUCUUCAUACUCUAUGCACAGACUAUGUGUGAGAAAGUCAGCCGACGAGGGUUGAUAGAAUACUACAUCAACGACGACUCCGAGGUGACGCCUCCUGGGAGGUUCAGAGUCCAUGGGGCGCUGAUGAACUUCCGUCCAUUCGCCGCUGCCUUCAAGUGCCGACCUGACUCUCGGAUGAACCCAUCAGAAAAGUGCCAAAUAUUCUAGAGAUGUUGCACCACUUUCACAACGUGAUUAGCAAAACAUUGAUGAUACCACUCUUUCAUGUCAGAGGUCAACACACCUCGCGGGAUACCUUGAGGUCAGAGGUCAACACACCUCGCGGGAUACCUUGAGGUCAGAGGUCAACACACCUCGCGGGAUGCCUUCAGAUCAGAGGUCAACACACCUCACGGGGAUACCUUUAGGUCAGAGGUCAACACACCUCGCGGGAUACCUUCUGGUCAGAGGUCAACACACCUAGCGGGAUACCUUCAGGUCAGAGGUCAACACACCUCGCGGGGAUACCUUUAGGUCAGAGGUCAACACACCUCGCGGGAUACCUUCUGGUCAGAGGUCAACACGCCACAGAGGGGAUGCUUUCAGGUCAGAGGUCACACGCUACGGAGGGGAUGCCUUCAGGGUAGAGGCCACACACUACGGAGGGGAUACCUUCAAAUCAGAGAUCAACACAGCGUGGAGGGAUACCUUCAGGUCAGAGGUCAACAUUACAUGGAGAGAAUACCUUCAGGUCAGAGGUCAAAACUACGUGGAAGAAUACCUUCAGCCGGUAGAUCCACAUCAGUGGUUCCCCCGACAGCCAUGGCCACGCAUCCAACGAUAACAAUGUCCGCCAAACCCCAUCAGUAGAACACCUCAGUUCUACAUGUGCAGGACUUAUUGCACGUGUCAAUCAUAUCCGACUCGCCCAUUCCCUGAUCAUAUCUCAAGUACUUCAAACACACAUCAGCCGUUUCAUAUCCCUGUUUUGAAUAUAUAUUUCACAACAAAGAUCCCGCAUUAUAAUUGUGCAAGAACAUUGCCCAUUUCUCGUUGUCCGAAAAGAUAUCAGUGUUCGUCGUUUUAACGGCCACGGUUCGUUAUAAGAUAGCAUAUUUACACUUGUCAUACCUCAUUGAACACCCACAUUGUCCAGCAACACAGCAUCUAUAUUCUUCUCGUCCAGUUGCCCGACAUCAUUGUCGACCAUCGCCAUACCUCAUCUAACCUCAUCUAGUUGUUUCAUGCAUACCUCACUGUAUCUAGUUAUUUCAUGCAUACCUUUUUGUUUCUAGUUAUUUCAUGCAUAACACACUGCAUCUAGUUAUUUCAUGCAUGUCACAUUGCAUCGAGUUGUUUCAUGCAUACCACAUUAUAUCUUGUUAUUUCUUGCAUAACUCAUUGUAUCUAGUUGUUCAUACAUACUUCAUUGUAUCUAGUUGUUCAUACAUACCUCAUUGUAUCUAGUUGUUCAUACAUACCCCAUUGUAUCUAGUUGUUUUAUGCAUACCUCAUUAUAUCUUGUUAUUUCAUGCCUAACUCAUUGUAUCUAGUUAGUUCAUGCAUAACUCAUUGUAUCUAGUUGUUUUAUGCAUACCUCAUUAUAUCUUGUUAUUUCAUGCAUCUAUGUACACUGGAAGGAAAAGUGUGUAUGACAUAUGUUGUUAUAAACAUUAUAUGCCAUCUAUGUACACUGGAAGGACAAAUGCGUUAUGAAACAUGUUGUUUGUACAUUAUAUACCAUCUAUGUACACUGGAAGGAAAGGUGCGCUAUGAAACUGUGUUAUAAACAUUAUAUACCAACUAUGUACACUGGAAGGAAAAGUGCGCUAAGAAACAUGUUGUUAUAAACAAUAUAUACCAUCGAUGUACACUGGAAGGAAAAGUGCGUUAUGAAACAUGUUUUUAUAAACAAUAUAUACCAUCGAUGUACACUGGAAGGAAAAGUGCGUUAUGAAACAUGUUGUUAUAAGCAUUAUAUACAGUCUAUGUACACUGGAAGGAAAAGUACGUUAUGAAACAUGUUGCUAUAAACAUUAUAUACCAUCUUUGUACACUGGAAGGAAAAGUGCGGUAUGAAACAUGUUGUUAUAGACAAUAUAUACCAUCUUUGUACACUGGAAGGAAAAGUGCGUUAUGAAACAUGUUGUUAUACACAUUAAAUACCAUCUAUGUACACUGGAAGGAAAAGUGCGUUAUGAAACAUAUUGUUACAAACAAUAUAUACCAUCUUUGUACACUGGUAGGAAAAGUGCGUUAUGAAACAUGUUGUUAUACACAUUAUAUACCAUCUAUGUACACUUGAAGGAAAAGUGCGUUAUGAAACAUGUUGUUUGUACAUUAUAUACCAUCUAUGUACACUGGAAGGAAAAGUGCGUUAUGAAACAUGUUGUUAUACACAUUAUAUACCAUCUUUGUACACUGGUAGGAAAAGUGCGUUAUGAAACAUGUUGUUAUACACAUUAUAUACCAUCUAUGUACACUGGAAGGAAAAGUGCGUUAUGAAACAUGUUGUUUGUACAUUAUAUACCAUCUUUGUACACUGGUAGGAAAAGUGCGUUAUGAAACAUGUUGUUAUACACAUUAUAUACCAUCUAUGUACACUGGAAGGAAAAGUGCGUUAUGAAACAUGUUGUUAUACACAUUAUAUACCAUCUUUGUACACUGGUAGGAAAAGUGCGUUAUGAAACAUGUUGUUUGUACAUGAUAUACCAUCUAUGUACACUGGAAGGAAAAUUGCGCUAUGAAACAUGUUGUUAUACACAUCAUAUACCAUCUUUGUACACUGGAAGGAAAAGUGCGCUAUGAAACAUGUUGUUAUACACAUUAUAUACCAUCCAUGUACACUGGAAGGAAAAGUGCGCUAUGAAACAUGUUGUUGUUAACAUUAUAUACCAUCCAUGUACACUGGAAGGAAAAGUGCGUUAUGAAAUAUGUUGUUAUAAGCAUUAUUUAUUACUUGCCCGUGAAGAGAUCACCCGUUUAAUAAACAUACAGCUGUAUUACACAUUGUGUAAUACCAAAGCGCGUGCUUAUGUACUACGGGAAUAGACGUUUCACUAACAAAUAUUGAAAACUCCCAACAUCUCUCGGCUUAUUCAACGACAUUGCGUGUAGAUAUGAUAGAUCACUGAUAGGAGCUUAUGCACACUCGAUGAUUCCAGCACCCUGUUGCGAGUCUGACGUCACAUGACAUUGUUUCGCCGGUGGAUCUUGCAACAAAAUUUAACAAAUUACGUCAUAGGGUAUUGUGACGUGAUUGCAAACUUUAAUUUGUGGUACAGGGCCUCGUUCCACGGCGGUUGCAGCGCAAGGACAAUCGUAAGUUUAAGUUAAAGUAUGGGAGUUAGGAUCACCUGUAUAAAGGUAGGCCGUUGGAUGGUAUUAAAUUAAUACGUGUCAACGUUUGACGAGUUUGAACUAGGAUUCUGUUAAAUUCAAUAGGAUUAUGCUGUGGAUCGCGUUGAUGUCUGUCUAUUCACAAACAACAGUGAAAUUUUCAACAACAAAAUAUAAGCGGCAAGUAAUAAAUAAAAUACUCAACUCCUUCCCGUGUUAUACCAAUUAUAUGAAACUCGUGAAUAGUUCUGUUAUUUGAAAAUGGCAUAUCACGUGAGCGAGUUUAGCAUUCUAUAUAUAUGUAUGUAUACUCCAUGUACACUAGAAGGAAAAGUGCGCUAUGAAACAUGUCAUUAUAAAAAUUAUAUACCCUCUAUGGAAACAAGAAGGAAAAGUGCGCUAUGAAACAUGUUAUAAAAUUAUAUACCCUCUAUGUAUGCAAGAAGAAAAUGUGCGUUAUGAAAUAUGUUGUUAUAAAAAUUAUAUACCCUUUAUAUCUCCAAGAAGGAAAAGUGCGCUAUGAAACAUGUUAUAAAUUAUAUACUCUCUAUGUAUACCAGAAGGAAAAGUUCCUUUUGAAACAUGUUGUUAUAAAAUUAUAUACCCUCUAUAUAUACAAGAAGGGAGAGUGCGUUAUGAAACAUGUUAUAAAAUUAUAUACCCUCUUUGUAUACAAGGAGGAAAAGUUACUUAUGAAACAUGAAGUUAUAAACGUUAUAUGCCCUCGAUGUAUGCAAGAAGAAAAUGUGCGUUAUGAAACAUGUUGUGUACCUGAUAUAUAUGAAUAGAGAUAGAUAAAAUAUGUUGUUAUAGACUGUGUAUAUCCUUGAUAUACAUGAGAAGGAAGAAUGUGUUAUAUGAAUGUUGUUAUAAACGGUGUAUGUUCUUGAUAUACAGUCCAAGGAAGAGAGUGUUAAAACAUGUUGCUGGAGUCAGUUCAAAUGGUUGGCUUAGCAAACAGGACAGCUGUUUUUUUCAAUUUAAUGUUGACAUGAAUUCCCAGGUCGUUACAUCAAACAUAGGUUGUUAUAAAAGUUUAUAUCCUUCAUAUACACUAGAAGCAAGAGUGUGUUAUGUAACAUAAACUUUAUAUGUACUUGUAACAUAGAAGGAAGAGCGCGUUAAAUAACGUGUUGUUAUAAACAUUGUAUAUAUAUGUUAUACACUAGAAGGAAGACAGCGUUAUAUAGCAUGUGUUAUAAAAUAGUGUAUGAAAGAGCCAGAGAAAUACGUAUAGAUGCCACCCCACAGCCAUAAGCAUACAUGAUAACAGGAUAAUAGAUUUCUUAUCAAUCAUGAAUACUAUGUGAUUAUUUGCAAUCAUUAUUGAUGCUGAUUAAUUGUUUGACAUUGUGUAAAUGGACACAACACAGACCAGCCUAGUUGUAAAAAGGAUGUCCUGUCCAUGUUUGUUAGAUAUAUCUGUUGUGAAUCUGUUCCCUCCCGGCAUGCAACAGGUCACUUCCGCUAUUACAGACAUUGUUCUAGCGGUUGGUUGACCCUGCGCUUGUAGCAACAUUAAAGUGCUGACCGUUCGCCAUGAUGAUAGCGCCAUCACAAUACAAAGCCUAACGAGAAUGUCUAUCAGAUCAGUCAGCCGAAAUUAACGUAAUAACUGUUCAAUGUCCGCCAAAUUACACGUCUGGUUGCCUUACUAGAUUGUCAUUGGUGUAGUGAUGGAAGAAGAUGGCGUGCGUACAUCUCGCGGUAUUCCACCUUCUCCAUACGUCACACACUAGCUGUAUCAAUACAUCCCGCGCUGGGGGGUAGUUGUAUCAAUACAUCCCGCGCUGGAGGGUAGUUGUAUCAAUACAUCCCGCGCUGGAGGGUAGUUGUAUCAAUACAUCCCGCGCUGGGGGGUAGUUGUAUCAAUACAUCCCGCGCUGGGGGGUAGUUGUAUCAAUACAUCCCGCAGUGGGGGGGAGUUGUAUCAAUACAUCCCGCGCUGGGGGGUAGUUGUAUCAAUACAUCCCGCGCUGGGGGGUAGUUGUAUCAAUACAUCCCGCGCUGGGGGGUAGUUGUAUCAAUACAUCCCGCGCUGGGGGGUAGUUGUAUCAAUACAUCCCGCACUGGGGGGUAGUUGUAUCAAUACAUCCCGCACUGGGGGGUAGUUGUAUCAAUACAUCCCGCACUGGGGGGUAGUUGUAUCAAUACAUCCCGCAUUGGGGGGUAGUUGUAUCAAUACAUCCCGCACUGGGGGGUAGUUGUAUCAAUACAUCCCGCGCUGGGGGGUAGUUGUAUCAAUACAUCCCGCACUGGGGGGUAGUUGCAUCAAUACAUCCCGCACUGGGGGGUAGUUGUAUCA